ACUGUCCCUAUUACUAUCUAGCGAAACCACAGCCAAGGGAACGGGCUUGGCCGCGUCCGCGAGGAAAGAAGACCCUGUUGAGUUCGCAGGCAGUCUGGCAUUGCAGAGACACUCGGAGGCGUAGCAUAAGCGGGAGGUGGUUCCUCCGCCGAAAUUGAAAUACCGCUACUUUGUUGUUUCUCUGCUAAUCCAGUGGAGCGGGAAAGAGGGCCCGCCGGUGCGUCCCUCCUUUCUCGAGUUCAAAGGGGAUGGGGCCCUCGUGUCGCCCGUCCCGACCCGCUCUGGAGACAGCGUCAGGCGGGCCUCUUGACUGGGGCGGUACAUCUGUCAAAGGGUAACGCAGGUGUCCUAAGGUGAGCUCGGCGAGGACGGAAACCUCGCGUAAGCAAAAGGGCAAAAGCUCAUUUGAUUUUGAUUUUCAGUACGAAUACGGACCGGAAAGCGUGGCCUAUCGAUCCUUUUGAACGUCUCGAGAGUUUCGAGCAAGAGGUGUCAGAAAAAUUACCACAGGGAUAACUGGCUUGUGGCAGCCAAGCGCUCAUAGCGACGUUG
RNAcentral lists this ribosomal RNA (552 nucleotides) under Rhinothelepus lobatus. RNAcentral describes it as "eukaryotic LSU rRNA". It matches the Rfam family "Eukaryotic large subunit ribosomal RNA", at positions 2338 to 2865 of the family's 3401-position model. The record is from RNAcentral. Lineage: Eukaryota; Metazoa; Annelida; Polychaeta; Terebellida; Terebellidae.